UACGAAGGUGGCAAGCGUUGUUCGGAUUCACUGGGCGUACAGGGAGCGUAGGCGGUUGGAUAAGCCCUCCGUGAAAUCUCCAGGCUUAACCUGGAAAGUGCAGAGGGGACUGUUCAGCUAGAGGAUGGGAGAGGAGCGUGGAAUUCCGGGUGUAGCGGUGGAAUGCGUAGAUAUUGGGAGGAACACCAGUGGCGAAGGCGGCUACCUGGACCGGUUCUGACGCUGAGGCGCGAAAGCGUGGGUAGCAAACGAGGA
RNAcentral lists this ribosomal RNA (255 nucleotides) under uncultured bacterium. RNAcentral's name for it is "partial 16S ribosomal RNA". It matches the Rfam family "Bacterial small subunit ribosomal RNA", at positions 524 to 778 of the family's 1533-position model. The record is from RNAcentral.